GCCGCGGUGGUGGAAUUGGUAGACACGCUAGCCUUAGGAGCUAGUAUCUUUUUGAUGUGAGAGUUCGAGUCUCUCCCGCGGUA
This 83-nucleotide transfer RNA is filed under the name Fidelibacterota bacterium. Its description in RNAcentral is "Candidatus Marinimicrobia bacterium tRNA-Leu". It matches the Rfam family "tRNA". Rfam says of the family: Transfer RNA (tRNA) molecules are approximately 80 nucleotides in length. Their secondary structure includes four short double-helical elements and three loops (D, anti-codon, and T loops). The record is from RNAcentral. Lineage: Bacteria; Pseudomonadati; Fidelibacterota.